AGGCUUGUAGCUCAGGUGGUUAGAGCGCACCCCUGAUAAGGGUGAGGUCGGUGGUUCGAAUCCACUCAGGCCUACCA
Molecule: transfer RNA, 77 nt
Filed under: secondary endosymbiont of Ctenarytaina eucalypti
Lineage: Bacteria; Pseudomonadati; Pseudomonadota; Gammaproteobacteria; Enterobacterales; Enterobacteriaceae
Description: tRNA-Ile (GAT) (tRNA-Ile-GAT-1-1)
Rfam family: tRNA
About the family: Transfer RNA (tRNA) molecules are approximately 80 nucleotides in length. Their secondary structure includes four short double-helical elements and three loops (D, anti-codon, and T loops).
Source: RNAcentral